AUUGAACGCUGGCGGCAUGCCUUACACAUGCAAGUCGAACGGCAGCAUGAUAUAGCUUGCUAGAUUGAUGGCGAGUGGCGCACGGGUGAGUAAUACACCGGAACGUGCCCUGUUGUGGGGGAUAACUAGUCGAAAGAUUAGCUAAUACCGCAUACGACCUGAGGGUGAAAGUGGGGGACCGCAAGGCCUCAUGCUAUAGGAGCGGCCGAUGUCUGAUUAGCUAGUUGGUGCGGUAAAGGCUCACCAAGGCGACGAUCAGUAGCUGGUCUGAGAGGACGAUCAGCCACACUGGGACUGAGACACGGCCCAGACUCCUACGGGAGGCAGCAGUGGGGAAUUUUGGACAAUGGGCGAAAGCCUGAUCCAGCAAUGCCGCGUGUGUGAAGAAGGCCUUCGGGUUGUAAAGCACUUUUGUCCGGAAAGAAAUGGCUCUGGUUAAUACCUGGGGUCGAUGACGGUACCGGAAGAAUAAGGACCGGCUAACUACGUG
This 490-nucleotide ribosomal RNA is filed under the name uncultured bacterium. Its description in RNAcentral is "partial 16S ribosomal RNA". It matches the Rfam family "Bacterial small subunit ribosomal RNA", at positions 30 to 507 of the family's 1533-position model. The record is from RNAcentral.